UAACCUUUUAGGAACCAGCCGCCUAAGGUGGGACAGAUGAUUAGGGUGAAGUCGUAACAAGGUAGCCGUAGGAGAACCUGCGGCUGGAUCACCUCCUUUCUAAGGAA
RNAcentral lists this ribosomal RNA (107 nucleotides) under Lactiplantibacillus paraplantarum. RNAcentral's name for it is "Lactobacillus paraplantarum partial 16S ribosomal RNA". It matches the Rfam family "Bacterial small subunit ribosomal RNA", at positions 1436 to 1533 of the family's 1533-position model. The record is from RNAcentral. Lineage: Bacteria; Bacillati; Bacillota; Bacilli; Lactobacillales; Lactobacillaceae.